UGCUAUAAAUUAUUUUUUCCGAAAUUUCGAAAACAUACAAAAAUGUGUAGUGUAUUUCAAAAUCAAUUGACAAACUAAAAAUAUUUGCUUUGUUUGGAAAAAGAAUUUACUCAUGAUGAUAUCAUCUCGGAUUAUGAAAUAUUUAUAACAAACUCGAACUGUGAACAUAAUUAAAUUAUUUUUAAAGAACCCGUGGCAAAUGUCAUACUAACUGUCAUAUUCAAAUACAAUUUCUUAUGACUUUAUGACUUAUGAGAAAGAAAGAGACAAACAAGUGGAGUGACACAAGUUCUUUCGGAUUCUUAAUUAUUUAAAAAAAUUAAAAUAUUUUGCAUUCAAUGGAAAGUAUCAGUAAACUGUGAAAACAUGGCAAAUCGAAAAGUGUUCGGAUUAUUUUUCACCGGAAUCAUAAUUUUCGAGCUUCUAAUUUCCCACGUUCAUAGUAGCCCAAAAGAUGACCGAGUAUGCAGCAAAAGAGCUGCCGUUAGAAGAUCAACGAAUUAAAAGAAUCGUAAAAAGAGGAAUUCGUCGCUGCCGGAACUAAACAUCAACAAACAACCAUUGAGUGAACCUUUAAAAGAAAUCAAGAAUAUUUACGAUUUUUUGGAAAAAUGUCUCAAGAAAAAGGUUUAUGAUCAAUAGCACAGUCACUUGAAGUGAAAUUGUUUAAGAACAAUAAUUCAAUUGAAGUAUUAGCAAGCAAUUUUAAGCCAUAUACAUUUAGUAACUUCCCACAAACUCGCAGAUUGAAACGCAGCAGCUGGUUAUCAAAACGACAACUUCUGGCACAAACAAUACUGCUUUUGGACAAUCAAUACUUUUUUUGAUGAAAAUACAUUUCUAUUCGAAUAUAAUACCAGCAAUAGAGCAAAUGACUGUGAAUAUUCCGGAAACUGAACGUGAUGAUAGUUUUGUUCGUUUUUGUGGUUCCAGACUAUCUUUGAACACAAAAGCUGAAAAACCCGAUGCUGAUGCAGUUAUUCUAUUGGAAAACUUGAAAUUUCAAGGCUAUAAUAGUUUAAGUAGAUGGUAUAAGUUGGAUAGAGAUGAAAUUAGGGCGACUUUAAAGAGCAUGGCGUAUUUACAUGCGCUCACUAUUUCUAUGAGACAUUUGCAGCCAACUGUUUAUUAUUCGGAAAUUGAUCCUUACUUACAAUCAGAUCAUGACACUGUUUUAAUGAGUAUUUAAUUCAAAUAGCAGAGAUUACUCUCAACCAUGACGACAAAAACACAAACAUCAAUUAUGUUGCAAUUGAAUGAUGCAAAAGACAAACUACGAAGUUCUGCCCGAACUCCUGACACACCGUAUACAACAAUAUAUCAUGGAGAUUUAUGGUCACCAAACAUCAUGAUUAAAAAGGGUAGAUUUUAUUAUAUUUUUGUGCGGUGUACACUGUACAGCUAUAAAUUCGUUAUUAAUGGAGAUAAAAGUACUAUGUCACCGUGUGGAACACAAAUUAGCCCAUGAACUAGCCCAUGAAAAAUGAGUGAGUUACCCUGGGUGACAGCUCCUUUCACGGAGUUGGGUGUUUUAGGCUUAGGUCAUUUGGUUUGAUGAUGAUUUAUAUGAUCUAAUACAUUAAAUUAUUUCUAAUUCAUCUGUUAUCAAAUGAUUGUAAACAUCGUACCACUUGCGAAAGUUUUUAAUAAAUUUAAUCAUCAAAAAUUCAAGUCGUUUAGAGUAAAGUGAAUGUGAUGUCGGGAGAUAAGUGUAUUAUAUUUGUAUUGAUACUUGAAAUUUUGAGCAUGAAUGCGUUGCCUUCAACAUCCAAAGCGUUGAAUAUAGCUGUUAUUGGAGCUGGAGCAGCAGGCCUUGCGAGUGCAAAAAACGCCCUCGAACAAGGACCUAAUGUAGUGAUCUACGAACAAACAGAAGCACUGGGUGGAAUAUGGUUUUACACAAAACCGGAAAAGAUGAGCACGGUGUUGAUAUUCACACUCCAAUGUAUCAAGAGCUAAGAAUAUCCGGGACAUAAAUAUCCAAAUAAUACACAAUCAUAUCCAUCACAUGAGGAUGUAUUGAAAUACCUGAACUCUUGCGCUGAACGCAUGGAAACAUUUGAAUAAACACAUAAAAUUCCAUCAUUUCGUCGAGAAAAUUCAUUCAAUUCAAAAUGACCAACGGAUCGUAGUUGUCAAAGAUUUGCCUAACAACAGGACUAUAUCGGCGAUUUAUGAUGCGAUUUUCGUUUGCUUUAAUAAGUUUUCAUCACCAAAUUAUCCGCAAAUUGAAGGCGCCAAUUUAUUCAAAGGAAAAAUUAUGCAUAGCCAUGAUUACCGUAGAGCCAAACAUUUUCUGAUAGAUCUUUAACUUAAAAUAAAUCACAAACCAGAUUUAUUUUAAUCAUGAAAUCGACUUUAUUUGGUUGAUAUGGUAAUGGUUAUUAUGAUAAUUUUCGGUAAUGGUUUCCACAAAUACGUUUUACACAGGCCAGUAAUUUAACCAAAAGUGGGCUUCGUCGAAAAAGAUUCUUUUUCGGUAUAUUUCCGUAUCAUUUUGGAGCUUCUGCAGGGCCCAACCGACGAAUGUGCGGCACCUUGGAUGGUUAUGCCACUUCAGUUCUUGUACCAACUGGAUUUUAUAGGCCUUCAGACCAAGAUCUUUUCGUAAAAUUCCGGACAAAGAUCAUCUUGUUGUGCACGGCGUCGAAUUGAUAAAAAGAACCGUAAAAAAUCUCGUUUCUAAUUACCUCAUCAUAAAUUACGAUUCUCCAAAUUCUCCCCCGUAAUUAUUUUUUUCGAGUGGAAUCAAAAAACUCCUUUUUACACUAGAAUUGGAUUCUAUGCUUACCUCUCUCGAUUUUUUUCCACCUAAAAUCUGAUGUUUGUAAUUGGAAGUUACAUUCAUAAGGAAACAUUGAGAAAAAAAAAAGCAAUCGUUUCACUUUCGCUUAAGAAACCGUUUUGAUAUGUGUAUAAUAAAAUAUGCUCAGCAAAUGACCUCAUACGUAUAAUGGAAUAAGUUUAUCUGUACAGAAAAUGUUUAAAUGAAAAGAUAUCGAAGAGAUUGAUAUACCGUUCGAACUAUGCUGAAAAAAGUAAUUUGAUUGCGAUUAAAAUAAAAUAAAAAAUUAGAUUUUCAGCCAAAUAAAUUUUUUCAUCGUCUAAAGUACGGCGCACACAAAAAUGU
This is an RNA transcript of Contarinia nasturtii (swede midge), 3130 nucleotides long. RefSeq lists it as uncharacterized. Lineage: Eukaryota; Metazoa; Arthropoda; Insecta; Diptera; Cecidomyiidae. The transcript has 8 exons. The record is from RefSeq and is a predicted model, not a curated record.